Lepisosteus oculatus (spotted gar) is the source of this 298-nucleotide non-coding RNA. NCBI's taxonomy places the organism in Eukaryota, Metazoa, Chordata, Actinopteri, Semionotiformes, Lepisosteidae. The record is from RefSeq and is a predicted model, not a curated record.
AAAGAUUAAAUGUACUAAUUCAUAUGUUUUCUUGUUUCUCCAGGUGACAAAAAGAUUUCAAAAACGGGCCUCUAGUUAUGAAAGUGUUUUUUUCCGCGUUCUGCGGCUCCUGAUCCUCUGCGCUCCGACGAUCUCCUUUCCAAUCCACUCCAGCAACUCGUCGUGCUUUGGCAGGUUCUUCUCGACAAUUAUGUCCCGAUUCAGUGCUGUAUUUUAUUCUUGACCUGCAUGUUAUCUGUUGACUGCUGCUAAUGUAUUUGCUGUGAACUCUGCAAUAAAAACUCUCAUUUCAUUGUCU